Unclassified non-coding RNA from Erinaceus europaeus (western European hedgehog), 313 nucleotides. Its record names the gene 7SK. It matches the Rfam family "7SK RNA". Rfam says of the family: 7SK was discovered as an abundant small nuclear RNA in the mid-70s but a possible function has only recently been suggested. NCBI's taxonomy places the organism in Eukaryota, Metazoa, Chordata, Mammalia, Eulipotyphla, Erinaceidae. The record is from Ensembl.
GGAUGUGAGGGCAACCCGGGUUAGACAUCAAUCACUUCAUUGAUCUCCAGGGUUGAUUCCUCUGAUCUGGCUGGCUACGUGGGUGUUCCCUUCCUCCCUCACCUCUCCAUGUGUGUCCCUUCCAAAGCUGUGUGCUCUGUCAAAAAGGAUGACCUUCCCCAUAUAGAGACAGACCUGUCUUUGGUAAAGGGUAUAGGAGUAUCUGUGCUUCCUUGCUCCAAACAAGCUCUCAAAGUCACUUCUUUAAUAGGGUCUCCUUUUAAUCCCAUCACUGUCUGCAAUUCUUGAAAUUGCCUUCAUUUUUCAAAUGAAU